GAUCUUCAUCCUGUCCUUAUGGAUUCCCAGGAGGUCUUCUUUCACAAGGUUCAUCGGCAGACAUCUGCACGAGACACAUGGAACACAUGAGCAUCGCUUCUCACAUUCAUUAUAUCGAGCUGCUGCAGAUGUUCUCACCUGUUGACUGACCGGCUCCUGUUCUUACUUCUCCGCCUCUGGAAUUUCUCAUCGUCUGACGAGGAGGACGUGGAGUCGCUACUGUGGAUGGCGUGUCUCCGUCUUUGUCAUACUAACAGGCUGGUUCUUCUCCUGUUGUAGGGGCUCCUUGGGGCCGUGGAGCUGAAUCUGAACCUGCGUCUGGUAGGAGAUGAGUGGUCCUUGAAGUACAUGCUGCGCUUCCUGGGCUCUCUGGGUUC
This is a long non-coding RNA of Scomber scombrus (Atlantic mackerel), 377 nucleotides long. RefSeq lists it as uncharacterized. NCBI's taxonomy places the organism in Eukaryota, Metazoa, Chordata, Actinopteri, Scombriformes, Scombridae. The record is from RefSeq and is a predicted model, not a curated record. The transcript is spliced from 3 exons.